UCAAGUUUGUCAGUCUCAGUUUUCACUUCAGGGACCCAUAGAGGUUAAGUGCGCUAUAGCUAUCCAGUCCUCCUGGGAAGAGAGCGAGGUGGCCACCUAAGGGCUGGGUACCCAAGGCCAGGGGCUAGGAGCAAGGGCUUAGGGGCUGGGCGCCGGCAUUUGGGACGCUCAGGUUAAAGGACUGCAGCUGAGGGCCUGGGAGCUGGGAGGCUGGGGCUGCGGGGGUGGAGAUGCUGGAUGCGGAGUCUGGGAUGCGGUGGGGAGGGGGAAGGACGAGGCUGCAGGGCUGCGAGGUUGGGCGAUUGGAGCUGGGACAGGGAUGGGGGUGGCGGUACGUGCAGAGCGGUGAGAGCCCGGAGCUGAGGUCGGUGGUGGGCCUGCCUGAGGGGCGGGAUCAGGAAACGGGAAAAGUAAGACAAAUACAGCUUGAAAAGACGAUAUGUGGACAUCUAUCCCGGACAACGCGGCAUGGACCCUGCGGUCUCUCGCGGUGCGCCUCCAGCCUCCUCGCGCGUCGCCCGCCCCGCCAGCUGCAGGCCAGAGGAAGAAAAGCUUCCUAUCAUGAGUUCAACCAGCUUCAAGUAGUACCUUCUGACCCGAGAGCGCCCUCAAACUGCCUUUCCCAGGUGCUAGGGGAAUUUGGUGGUAUAAAGCAGAGCCGAAGAAUCUCCAAAGGAAAGAACCAGUGACCAGACUGCAAGCGCCAGGCAGCAUGUAUGAGUCUGAAUGACUCUCAUCAGCCUGGGGAAGGAAAAGACCCAGAAAGCUGAGACACAAGAUGCUCACCCGUGCAGGAGGAAGAUCCAUAAAAACAGCAGGAUGGAGACGCAAUUGGUGAUGUUCCACAUCAUUAGAGUCUCCACUAGCUUUUGAAGAUCCAGCUUGCAGCUGAAAGUUCAAGCAAAAGGCCCCAAGGGUUAAUCAUGCUGCGGCAGCCAGAUGAUCCGUGAUUAUGUACUAAGGCGGUAGAGGUCACUAACAAAUAUCGGGGCUGGCAUGUGGCAUAAUGGGUAAAGCCACCAUCCGUGAUGCCAGCAUCCCAUAUAUGGGUGCUGGCUGUGUCUGGCUGCUCCACUUCUGAUCCAGUCCCCUGCUAAUGCGUCUGGGAAAGCAACAGAAGAUGGCCCAAGUGUUUGGGCCCCUGCACCCUUGUGGAAGACCCGGAAGAAGCUUCUGGCUCCUGGCUUUGGUCUGGAACAGCCGUGGUUGUUAAUUCUGCCUUUCAAAUGAAUGAUUAAAUAAAUCUUUAAAAAAUCCCUUUUUUAAACAAUUUAUGUUCAUUUUAUUUGAAACACAGAGAGACAGAGACAUGGGUGGAAAGAGGUCUUCUGGCCAAACCAAAAGUGCAGAAUUCAAUGUUUCCUACAUGGGUGGCAGAGACCUAAGAACUUGAGCCAUCCUCCGCUACCUUUCAGUGUAUUAUGCAUUAGCAGGAAGCUGGAUAGGAAGUAGAGGGACUGGGACUUGAGUCAGGCACUCCUUGAGAUGUGUGCAAUGCAUCUCAAGCAGGAACUUAACCACUGUGCCACAUUCCUGCUUUUAAGACCAUUUUUAACAUUGCCUAUGAGUUCUUCAUCAGGUCUCUUUUCUCUAGCCUCAUACUGUAAUAAUCUUUCCUUAAUUUCUACAUUCUAGCCACAUUGGCAUCCUAUGAGUCCUUCAAAUGCUCCUUCCUAACUUAGACCCUUUGAGUGCUUUUUAUGUCAAGUACUGUCCUAAGUACUAUAUCUAUAUUAAUUCAUUAAACCCCCCACAAAAACCCAGUGAAGCAAGUACUACUAUUUCCACUGCAUAGAUAGGGAAACUGAGGUACAGAGAAUUUGCCCAUAGUACAUAGCUGGCUAGUUACAGACCCAGGAUUUGAAACCUGGGCAGUCUGGUUGCAAUGUCAAUGUUCCUAACCACUAUACUUUGCCACACAGGCUGUUUCUUUCCCUUGAUCUCUGCAUACUUCUACUCAAUCCCAAAUAUCCUACUUCAAAUGUCGCUGCCACAGGAAGCUUUCCCAGACUAGAUAUGUAACAGAGUAUAUGAUAUAUAUGCUCAGAACACACUAUGUGUAGCAUACUAUCCCAGUUUAUAAUUAUAUAUGAUGAUUAUGUGUUCAAUGUUUGUCUCUCACAUUUGGCAGUGAGCUCCAUGAAGUCAGAAACUGUCUGGUUUGUUAAGCAAUGUCUCCAGCACAGUAUCAGGCACAUAAGUAUCUAACAAAUACUUCUUGCUGGGAUGAAGGACCAAAUGAAUGAUCAGGAAGAAGGAAGGGCAUCUUGGUAAUAGGAAUAAACAUGAAAGGGGUAGGAGAGAUCAGAACUGAGUGUGGUAUUUUUAUUAUUUAAAUGACAAUGCAGACAGGUAAAUUACUUAUAUAAGGGGUAUUCAAAAAGUUCACAGAAAGACAGCAUUUGGUGCAGUGGUUAAGACACUGUUUGGAAUACCCACAUCCUAUAUCAGAGUGCUUGGGUUCAAAUCCCAGCUCUGCUCUCCAUUCCAGCUUCCUGCUAAUGCACACCCUGGGAGGCAGCUUGUGGUUUCGGCCUGGCCCAGCCCUGGCUGUUGCAGGCAUCUGGGGAGUAAACCAGUGGCUGGGAGAUCUGUCUCUCCAACUUUCAAUUAUAUAAAUAAAAAGAGAAGCUCAUAGACAAUGCAUAUUAUGAAAAAAAGUAUGGACUUCAACAUUUUUUUUUUACCAAAAUAAGCCAUCUUUUUAAAUCAACUUCAUUUUUUUUUUCUAUACAAUGACCCCUAGGAGGAGAGUGUGCUAAUGGAGAAGGAGAGAGAAAAGACAUUCACCUAAGAGUACCAUCACAGAGGAAUGCUAUCAACAGGGUGAGCACUGGGCAGUUAGAAAACA
Oryctolagus cuniculus (rabbit) is the source of this 2851-nucleotide long non-coding RNA. RefSeq lists it as uncharacterized. The record is from RefSeq and is a predicted model, not a curated record. Lineage: Eukaryota; Metazoa; Chordata; Mammalia; Lagomorpha; Leporidae.